UAUCCUACGGGACGCAGCAGUGGGGAAUAUUGGACAAUGGGGGGAACCCUGAUCCAGCGACGCCGCGUGAGUGAAGAAGUAUUUCGGUAUGUAAAGCUCUAUCAGCAGGGAAGAAAAUGACGGUACCUGACUAAGAAGCCCCGGCUAACUACGUGCCAGCAGCCGCGGUAAUACGUAGGGGGCAAGCGUUAUCCGGAUUUACUGGGUGUAAAGGGAGCGUAGACGGUGCAGCAAGUCUGAUGUGAAAGGUCGGGGCCCAACCCCGGGACUGCAUUGGAAACUGCCAUGCUAGAGUGCUGGAGAGG
Molecule: ribosomal RNA, 305 nt
Filed under: uncultured bacterium
Lineage: Bacteria
Description: bacterial SSU rRNA
Rfam family: Bacterial small subunit ribosomal RNA
Source: RNAcentral